Molecule: ribosomal RNA, 330 nt
Filed under: Sterkiella histriomuscorum
Lineage: Eukaryota; Ciliophora; Spirotrichea; Sporadotrichida; Oxytrichidae
Description: SSU rRNA
Rfam family: Eukaryotic small subunit ribosomal RNA
Source: RNAcentral
AGGAAGGCAGCAGGCGCGUAAAUUACCCAAUCCUGACUCAGGGAGGUAGUGACAAGAAAUAACGGACCGAAGCCUAUGUUUCGGGAUUGCAAUGAGUAGAAUUUAAACCCCUUUACGAGGAUCAAUUGGAGGGCAAGUCUGGUGCCAGCAGCCGCGGUAAUUCCAGCUCCAAUAGCGUAUAUUAAAGUUGUUGCAGUUAAAAAGCUCGUAGUUGGAUUUCUGGGAGGGUGCCAAUGUCGUCAUGUGAUUGUGCAGCGGCGCCCUUCCAUCCUUCUGUUAACGUUUCUGAUAUUCAUUUAUUGGUCUCGGGCUCAGAUAUUUUACCUUGAG